RNAcentral lists this long non-coding RNA (5312 nucleotides) under Malus domestica (apple). RNAcentral describes it as "long non-coding RNA (MDOM_LNC021207)". Lineage: Eukaryota; Viridiplantae; Streptophyta; Magnoliopsida; Rosales; Rosaceae. The record is from RNAcentral.
AAGCCAGAUUCGUCUUGGAUUCUUUAUUUGAGCUUCAAAAUAGACCACUAAACUUCUUUCCACGUUUAAAUAAGGGUCAACCCCAAAAAUGACAUGUUUUCAUUUCUUUUGCCUUCAAAUUGAUCCUAAAAUACAUGUAACUGCACACUAACACAAAAUAAGGUAAAAUGCAACCAAUUUAACUCAAAAACAUCACAAAGAGACUAUAAAUGGAUGGUAUAAAUGCAUGAAAUAUAUGAGUUAUCAAAUACCUUUAAACCUGGUUUUUGCUAGUUCUCGAGCAAAACUAUAACUAAAAACACACAAAAACAAUAAAAUCUAACUAUACCACUUUCGCUGGCUAAAUGAUUGCACUAAGCAUGUGCAACAAGUCUUUAAACCUCUAGGUGUCCCUAGUCGAAUGAGUUGUGUCUCCUGAGGGUUUAUAGUGAUGACGCCCAUAAACAUCUACAGAUUCUAUAAACAAAUUGGUUAAAGCAUACUUGGAACAAACUAAUAAGAACCAAUGAAAGCUUAGUCAUACAUCCAAACCAAAAGUUUGCCGCUUCAAAGAAUCGUAUAAUGUGUAAAGUGUAAAAAUAUUACUCCAUGACUUAUUACUUCAAAGACACCAUACUCAAAUGCCAAAGAUAAAAUUCGCCUUAACUCUAGUCCUCACAUAUAUCACUCAAAUUUUCACUCAGUUCCUAAGGUGUAAUCUUUCCACAAACACAAGUGAGUGAAAUUAUGUAAAUGGGAUUAAAAAAUUCUCACAUAUGAAAUAUGAAAUAAAAGCACAAUUUCUGAACAGAUCUCAUGAAAUGAAUCAAAACUAAGAAUAUGGAUAACACACGUACUUACCAGCACCUAUGAAUACAUCCGCAAAGAUCAGCUAGGUCUUUCACAAGGUUGUAAUGUAAGGCUUAGGCUAUGGGCUAUGAAAGAAAGGAUAGGAAAUACUAGAGCUUGGGACAUACCAUACCAAAGUGUAUUUGUUAUGAAAUAAGCAAGCUCUUCACUUGAAUUGGUCUUUGUUAUUUGUUCUUGGCAUCCAGGACCCAUGCAUGAUAAUGGGAAGAUUUGGGAAUUGCAUCUUCUUUGAUUUUUUUCCUGUAACAUUUUUUUUUUAUUUGCAAUUCCAACACAUGUUACCUUGGUACACGCCACGUUCUUGAUCUAGAGCUUAAUCUAUAUGUGUCUUCAUCACUUUAGUAUUCCCCAAACUAUAAGGUAUGGCUGUAAUGGGCUAAGAUGGGUAGAGUUUGGUGUGGGUGAUGAAAGAACUAGGCUAAAAGUGUUUGGCUGCAACAAGGGUGAAUGGGGCACAUAAAGGAAUGGGAAUUAGGCCUUUUAGUGGUUAAAACAUGCAUAGCCUAACAUCGUCUCAAUGAGUUUAUUCAUAGGUGAUAAUAAACACAUGGUAUCUACAACAUAGGAUUAUUUUUAGCAUUCAAUCAAAGAGAAAUAAUGAGAUCAUUUAAAGUGAAAUUGAAAGAAAAAGAUAUGAGCAGAAACAUUUAACAUUUUAAACCCUCUCAAAGUAGCAAAUAGGCUCAAAAUAACUCAUUAGGGUAGUCUCUACUAUUCUUCUUCCAGAAUUUGAGCAAAGCACUUUACAAUAACUCAUUAGUGUCAAAUAGGGUCUGUUAUGGGGGAGGUGCAAAUGUUUGAUUAGGAGCUUGUAUGUUGUUCCAAGAGUCAAUAUUAAGGUUUCUCCAAAUAGGGUUGUAUGUGUUUGACAAUGGUUGUUGUGGCCCUUGGUUAGAGAAACACAUGUGAUGUGAGUGCUCUCGGACAAAUGUAGGAAACUCGUCUCUCCUUGGGCAGAAUUGAAGAGGAUGACAAGUUUUAGCAUAUAACAGACAUUCGCCAUACAUCUCUCUGUACCACUUGAAAGCAAACAACCUAAAAUGUAAAUUAAAAAUCUAAACUAAGAAAAGAAAAACAGAUAGGGUUUAUAAAGCAAGCAAUUAUAGGGGACUGAAAUCAGUCCCCGACAACGACGCCAAAAUUUUGUUGUGUUCCUUUCAAGUGCAAAUAUAAAGAUAGUGUCAAACCACAGGGACUGAUUAGAACUCUACAAAUUACUAACUUUAUGUGAACCCUAACUAAGCAACGAAAAUGAAAACUGAAUUUAGAUUUUUGUUAUGAAAGUUAAAGUAACUUAAAAUGCAAGACAAGAUAAAGACAAAUGAUAGAUUGAUUCAGAAACGAUGGGAACGGAACUAGGGAUACCGAUUUCACCAUUACAAGUCAAUUCCAUGAAAAUUAAGUCAAAACGCAUUAAACUAUCCAAUCUACAACUAGGGUUCGUUUUCCUUAUUUAUGGUCAUCCAUUCGGUGUAUGGUUAUGAUCAAGUACUCCUAAUCUGCAACCUAGUUGUGAUGUUCAACUUAGAUUACCAAGUAAGAAUCCAUUAAGAACAAGAAAACUUCAAAAGAACCAAAGAAAUUACAAGGCAGGAUGUGUGCAUGGCAGCUUCUUCAUUCAUUCACAUGUCCACCAAGAUUAAGCAUGAUGAGUACUAUAACCUUGAUCAAAUAAUUCAUAAGUAGCCCUAAUGGUGAUCAAACAUUAAGAUUAACAAACAAAUUAUACUAUAAAAUCAGUGAAUGAAACAAGAACACAGAUUGGUAAUUUGAAACUUUAACUUAAUAACAUAGAGUAGGUUUGCAAGACUACAUCGAAAUCCCCAGCUAUAAACUUAAUUACACAACAUGAUUACAAAAUAUAUAAAUUUCAAGAACAAAUGAGUGAAAUUAAAGUUCACAGAAGAAACCCCCUUGAAGCAAUUCUGAUGUUGAACUUCUCCAAGAACAGCGCGGAUGUGUGGUUUCUUUGGUGACAGCGAAUGGCGAAGGGAAAUAGGGUUUUGUUUAUGGAAGAAAGGCCAAAGAAAAAGAAGAGAGAGAGCUCUGGGCGACCCCAAUGGGGGCUUGUGCGAAAGUAAUUUGAAACCCUAGUAUUUAUAUGCUAAAUGGGGCUGCAAGAUAUUCCAAAGUGAUCCCAUUCUGUUCCUGGUUUUCUACAAGCCAGAUUCGUCUUGGAUUCUUUAUUUGGGCUUCAAAACAAGCCACUAAAUUUCUUUCCACGUUUGAAUAAAGGUCAAUCCCAAAAAUGGCAUGUUUUCAUUUCUUUUGCCUUCAAAUUGAUCCUAAAGUACAUGUAACUACACACUAACCCAAAAUAAGGUAAAAUGCAACCAGUUUAACUCAAAAAUAUCACAAAGAAACUAGAAAUUGAUGGUAUAAAUGCAUGAAAUAGUCACCCACCGAUACACACUGGAGAUGGAAUAUUUGGUCACUAGAUGGAGUGUUCUAUUACCAGAGUAGAAUAUUUCGUCACUGCACAGAAUAUUCUGUCACAGUUAAUGGUAUACACACUGUUAAUAGAGUAUUCCAUCUUCUCUAGUGAGUCCAAUUUUUUAGAAUGUCAUAACUUGUUGAAUUCUCAACUAAAAUUCACACAAUUCAUAUCAAAUUAAAGCUAAAGAUGAGGAAUCAAAAUAUACCUAUCUCAAGGCCUAAAAGUGAUCGGAGUUGAUCGGAAUUUAGACUAAAAGCCAUGGCCAAAUUGGAGUUUGUUGAGACAAAGGCAAAUUCGAGCACAUGCUCGAACCUUGGGAUAUAAGUGCUAGAGAGGGUUCUGGUGUUAUUAAACUCGCCCAGUUUGGUGAUAUUUGGCCAGACAACGUGACAAGGAAACCUUGGUCAGAAAGACAAAGAAUUCGCCGGAGUUUUUUUCGGUUCAAACUUGAGUUCUUCGUUGUUGAAUUUGAUGACUAAUUCAACCAUUUUCUUGGGGUUUCUAGACUCGUGGUGAGUCGGGGAGAACAACGAUGAUGGUUUAGUGGUGUGGGUUCGAAGGUUGGGUGGUGAAUGGUGGUGGUGGCUUACGAUGUUGCAUUGUGCAACACAGAAAGAUGGUGAGUGCAAAGAGUGAGAGAGGAAGAGAGACUGUAGAGAAAGUGAAAGAGAGUCAGUGUUUGGUUAAUGUGUGUAUGCAUGUGUAUUUGGGUUAGAUCCAAACAAUAACUUUAUAGGCUCUAGGCCCAAUUAAAAUAAUUAUCAAGGACAACCCACUUGCCUCACUUGCACACCUAAUUUGAAAUUGUAAUCAGAUAGGUAGUUAGAAGCUUGUAGCCUACAAUAAAGACGGCAGCCCAGCCACCUUGAAAAUGGUUUUGCAAAUUCUUUAAUAUACAAAAUUACCAUUUUGCCCCUCGUCAUGAAACAUUCAUAACUUGUUUGUUACAUGUCAGAAUUACGUCCCCUUUGUGCCCACGUGUUCGAAUUGAUGAGUAAUAUUUAAAUAGUAUAGAAAAGGGAAAGAUUAUGUAAGAAAUUUAGAGGUACACGUAAGAAUAUCACUUAGUUUGUCAUGGGCAUUUUGGUAAUUUCAUUGUUUCUGGGAAUAAGGUACAAUAAAAUUUGAGAUGGGAUGUUGCAAAGCUGCAUCCUUAAGUUGAGCUCUCUAAUAGGUAAUACAAAUGCGAUUUGGAAAGAUUAAUAUGCAAGGAGACUGAAAAUUUUUAAUUCAGGCAAUUAAGAAAAAGAUACAAGUUAUGUGGUAGAUUUCAUAAAGAGACUAAAAAAAUUUAAUUCAGGCAAUUAAGAAAAAGAUACAAGUUAUGUGGUAGAUUUCAUCUAUUAUCAAGAAUACUUGACAUUUAUUGAAGCUGAUUUUCUACUACACAAUUUAUCACAUGUUUUGAGAAGUUAACAUGACCGUUGAUGGUUUGCUGAUUUGGCAUAUACAUACAGUUAGUCUUGUAUCUAGUUCACUAAUUUUCCUCAUGUAACUGUACUUAGGUUACUUUUUGAUAAAAUUGGAAAUAGGAUUCGUAGAGAAUUUCUUUGUAUAAAUCUUCAUCUUUAAAAAAAAAUUACAAUUUUAAUUUAAUAUGUUCAAUCCAUAUGACGUGUCACCACAUCAACCUUGAAGUCACACGAAUAAAUUAAACAGUUAUUUAAAGGAUUUGACAAAAUCUAGGCAACGUGCGAUAAGAGGAGAGAGAGAGAAGAAAAGAAAGAUAGUAGAUAGGUUAUUGGAGCAUAUUUAUGCCACUGAGUUAGCUUGUUCUCAUGCAUUUAUGUUGUUAUUUCUUAGUUAAUUAUGUAUUUUAAGCUAUUUUUGAAGGGAAAACCAUGAGAUUUCAUGUGGGAUUUCUAGUGACUAGCAUGCAUAUACAAUUCAAAAUUUAUAUACGAAAGCAACGGAAGCAUGUUAUCAAAUAAUAUCAAAACAAUAGUCAUGCAAAUCCCCUUCAAGAUGCAUAGGUUUAUGUAAGAUGCAUCAAAAACAAAUUUAUAUAAGAACAAAGUUUAGGAGU